CUACUAGGAAAUGUGGAGCUUAAGAAGUAUGGGAGGAGUGCAGUCUGGCAGUGUCCGCAGCCAUGGCUGUAUUGUGUCUCCUGAGGAAAGAAAGCCAUGUGGAUAGCUGGGAUCUUCUGUGAAGAAAGGAAGGAAGAGAGAAGAGGAAUCUAAGACGUGAAGAGCAACAUUUAGAAUUUUGGUGGUGGAGGAAGGACAACAAAAUGCAAGAAGCAAGAAGUCCAGAGGAAGAGUGGAUCCAGGAUCCAGGUUCUCUCACUGUCCUGCUCUGCCAAACACAGUAGUUAGCUUCAUCUUUGGCUGGUUCCCGUCACAGGUAGAAGGUGGCUGCCUUGGUUCCUGGAGUCCCGUGCAAACCUAACUAUGCCUCACAAAAGACAGGAAGAGGGAAUUCUUUCUCUUUUGGUCUUAUUGUAACAGUGAGGAAAACUUUUUUAGAAGCCUUCCAGCAGAGCUUUCCCACAUCUCACUGGCCAGAAUGAGGUCACAGGCUGCUACUGAAACCAGACUCUGAGAAGGGGAAUGGGAUGACAAUGACAGACUUAGGUUAACCAAGAAUUACCCUAAAUCCUAUCAUGGAAGGAUCAUUACCCAAGCAAGGUUAGGGCCUUGUAGCAAGGAGGAUGGAGGAAAUAGCUGUCAGCUGGGCAGCCAGCAGUGCCUACUACAAAUGACAAUUAUGGAGUCAGAUAUUGGCUAGACAAUAUAUCACUAAUCUUUAUAUCAGGCUUAUCCUUCAUCAGUACAAGAAAUGGUCAUGAUAUCAUGUAAGACAAAUUGCAAAAAUCUUCAAUGAAACAAUACUGUUAGACCCAUACAUCCCAGCUGGCAGGAGGACAAAUUCCAAGUAGAUCGUAGAAUCAAAUGUGAAAACAUUACUACUAUUUAAAUGAACACAUUGGAGAACUCUAUAGUAAUCUUGGAGUAGAAGAAGCCUUUCUAUGACUCAAAAUCAAGAAGCCAUAAAGAGAAAAAAUACAACAUGGAAUGAAAAUAUCAGCAUAGAAAGAUAGGCAGAGGAUAUAAAUAUCCAACGGGCAAGAAAAAAAGCCUACAAAUGUGUCUUAAACAUAAGAAAUGUUCAAUUUCAUGUGAUUCAGAUUAAGGAAAACAAAAAUUAAAACUAUCCUGAGAUAUACCAUUUUCAGUUAUCUGAUUGGCAAGAGUUUGAUAACACUCUGUUGGCAAGGUUGUAGGGAAAAAGUCACUCUCAUGGAGCCAAAGAGAGUAUGAACUGGAAUAACUCCUGUAGAGGGCAAUUUAACAGUACACGCCAAAGGCCUAAAUCCUUUAAUUCAGUAAUUCUGUUCCUGAAAAUACAUCUGUAGAUUCUACAGAGUCUGCAUUUUACAGAUGUACUUGAUUACAUGAAAAAAGAUUUUUCAGGGCUAAUGUUUAACUGAAACAUACCCAUAAGACCCAACUGGUUAGUUCUUGGCCAGUAUCCAACCAAAAAGGUUAAUAUCUAUCAUGUUCUUGAUUUUAAAAAUUGUAAAUAUUACCCCUUUGGCAUUUAGAAGUCUAUUUAUUGGAGAAAAGUACUGGGGACAACUCAAAUGGCCAACAAACGUGGACUGACAUGCAACUAUGCAAAAGGAUGAGUAGCUAUCUGUAUAUAGUGACAUGAAAAGAUCUCCAAAAUCUAAGAUUAAGUUAAAAAAGGAAAGUGCCUAUUAGUUUGUGUAAUACUCCAACUUUUGUAUAAAAAGAAAGGAAAAAUAAGUCUUACUUUAUAAAAAAACAAGCGUAAUUAUAUUUGCUUAUAAAAACAUGAAGCUCUGAAAGAAACACAAAAAACAGAUUGCCUGAAUUCAUGGUAUGGCAAAUGAGGAAGAUGAAAGACAG
Molecule: long non-coding RNA, 1845 nt
Organism: Manis pentadactyla (Chinese pangolin)
Lineage: Eukaryota; Metazoa; Chordata; Mammalia; Pholidota; Manidae
Exons: 3
Source: RefSeq, a predicted model, not a curated record